GACGAACGCUGGCGGCGUGCUUAACACAUGCAAGUCGAACGGAAAGGCCCUGCUUUUGUGGGGUGCUCGAGUGGCGAACGGGUGAGUAACACGUGAGUAACCUGCCCUUGACUUUGGGAUAACUUCAGGAAACUGGGGCUAAUACCGGAUAGGAGCUCCUGCUGCAUGGUGGGGGUUGGAAAGUUUCGGCGGUCGGGGAUGGACUCGCGGCUUAUCAGCUUGUUGGUGGGGUAGUGGCUUACCAAGGCUUUGACGGGUAGCCGGCCUGAGAGGGUGACCGGCCACAUUGGGACUGAGAUACGGCCCAGACUCCUACGGGAGGCAGCAGUGGGGAAUAUUGCACAAUGGGCGGAAGCCUGAUGCAGCAACGCCGCAUGCGGGAUGACGGCCUUCGGGUUGUAAACCGCUUUCGCCUGUGACGAAGCGUGAGUGACGGUAAUGGGUAAAGAAGCACCGGCUAACUACGUG
RNAcentral lists this ribosomal RNA (468 nucleotides) under uncultured bacterium. RNAcentral's name for it is "partial 16S ribosomal RNA". It matches the Rfam family "Bacterial small subunit ribosomal RNA", at positions 28 to 507 of the family's 1533-position model. The record is from RNAcentral.